GGUGAAAGGGUGCGAAAUUUGGUGGGAUGAAGGAAAAAGGCUCAUGGUCUUGGUGUUUGGAUGGUGAUGGGAUGGUGUUUGAUGAUGCUUUAAGAGAGGUUAAACCAACUCUAGAGCAAGGUGACUAGAGGAGACCACAUGACAUGCUCUAGCCUUUGCUGACCUAAGAUGAAUAAUACAGCACAAAAAUGACAGCAUAACAUUACUCAAAUUCAAAAGUAAUUACAAGAGUAUGAGACACCUUUAUUUAUAGACUAAGGGUGUCUCUAAUUUGUAUAAGCAAAACCUAAAAACUCAA
Molecule: long non-coding RNA, 298 nt
Filed under: Vigna radiata
Lineage: Eukaryota; Viridiplantae; Streptophyta; Magnoliopsida; Fabales; Fabaceae
Description: long non-coding RNA (VRAD_LNC005936)
Source: RNAcentral